ACGCUCGACACCUACGGGAGGCAGCAGUGGGGAAUAUUGCACAAUGGGGGAAACCCUGAUGCAGCGACGCCGCGUGAGUGAAGAAGUAUUUCGGUAUGUAAAGCUCUAUCAGCAGGGAAGAAGAUGACGGUACCUGAGUAAGAAGCCCCGGCUAACUACGUACCAGCAGCCGCGGUAAUCUGAGCGGGCUGGCAAGGC
This 198-nucleotide ribosomal RNA is filed under the name uncultured bacterium. Its description in RNAcentral is "partial 16S ribosomal RNA". It matches the Rfam family "Bacterial small subunit ribosomal RNA", at positions 328 to 539 of the family's 1533-position model. The record is from RNAcentral.